AUCCUGAAACAACGUGGGAGGCACAGAGCUCUGAGAUGGUAUGCAUGUGACAGCACCGCCAUCACCCGAAUAUACAGCACUGAGCGAUGGAUACUGUGUGCAAGAAAACGCUGGGCCUGCCUGCCUGCCUUCUAGCUCAGGGAAUCAAAGGGAGGUUCAUGGGUUGCCUUACACAUCUACUGUGGGGAGCUCAGGCACUCUCCUUUGCAUGCAGUUUAAAGCAAACAGAAAACUUUUCUUGAUACAGUAUGGCAAUAGCUGGCCCUGUCCCCUGUGUAGGAACUAAAGGCUUUUUAACCAGUUAGGAGACCAAGAAAAUGAACUAAGUGAUUACUGAACUCAAAUUUGUCUUACUCAUGAUGGUUUAUUUCCGUGAUCCUGUGAGACUGUUAACCAAUGUUCAGUAUUCUGUGGAGAAACCUAUGCACCACCCGUGAACUGAAAGCUUAAGACUUUAAGUCCAAAUGUGCUGUCCCAAAAUAGACAAAACAAAACAAAAAGCAAACAAAACCAAAACAGCCAAGAAACUUUUCUAGCGAAUCACAAAGAAGUAAGCAAAAUAUAAGAAAUUCUGUCAAAACAGCUCAGACACAGCUCUUGUUCUGAGCCCUCUGUGGCAUGACAUUGGUACUUGCACUCUGGAGGCUGAGGCAGGAGGUUGUCAAGUUCCAGCAGUUCAGUCCGGGCUCCAAGGAGGAAGCAAUGGCCUCUACUGAAAGUGAGCAACUUUGUAUCAGCCGCUACAUCUCCAUGGACGCAUCUCAGGCCUGCUCUCUUUCUUUACUCUGGAGGACAAUUGGAGCUCAGUCAUCACACUCUUCUUUAAGACCUAAGGAAACGGGUGGAGAGAUGGCUCAGUGGUGAAGAACACUGACUACUUUUCCAGAGAUCCUGAGUUCAAUUCCCAGGAACUACAUGGUGGCUCACAGCCAUGUGUAAAGGGAUCCAGUGCCCUUUUCUAAUGUGUCUGAAGACAGCUACAGUGUACUGCUCAUAUACAUUAAAUAAAUUUUAAAAAUCUAAAAAAAAAAAAGACCUAAGGAAAUGUAAGUAAAAGAAAAUGUAAGUAGGUGUUUUAGUUAAGAUUUUACUGCUGUGAACAGACACCAUGAUCAAGGUCAACUCUUAUAAGGAAAACAUUUAAUUGGGUCGGGCUCAUAGGUUCAGAGGUUCAGUCCAUUGUCAUCAAGGUACAGUUGGAGCUGAGCGUUUUACAUCUUUAUCUGCUAGCAGAGUGUUGGCUCCCAUGACGCUAGGAUGAGGGUCUUAAAGCCCACACCCACAGUGACACACCCACUCCAACAGGGCCACACCUUCUAAUAGUACCACUCCCUAGUACAAGCCAUAACAGUGGGCUAAAAGAAAUAUUAACUUUUGGGAGAAUAUGGAGUCACAUUUCAAUUUAAUUUAAUUAUAGUUCUCUUAAAUUAGCGACUCUCAUAGGCUUGAACACCUACCCCAUAUCUACCUUUCUAUAGCCUCUUUAGUCAGGCCAGACUCUUGACUUGCCCCAUGGACAUAUUUUUAAACCUAUGUGUUCAAAUUUUCUUUAGACACCAACUUCUACUGGACAUUCCCCAUUUAAGCCCCCUGUUAAGUUUAACCCCUGCACCAAGCCUUUAACUAAUUUUAUCUUCCAGGACUUAGACAAGAUCAGGAUGUCUGA
This is a non-coding RNA of Rattus norvegicus (Norway rat), 1666 nucleotides long. NCBI's taxonomy places the organism in Eukaryota, Metazoa, Chordata, Mammalia, Rodentia, Muridae. The record is from RefSeq and is a predicted model, not a curated record.